Molecule: ribosomal RNA, 794 nt
Filed under: uncultured Pelagibacteraceae bacterium
Lineage: Bacteria; Pseudomonadati; Pseudomonadota; Alphaproteobacteria; Candidatus Pelagibacterales; Candidatus Pelagibacteraceae
Description: bacterial SSU rRNA
Rfam family: Bacterial small subunit ribosomal RNA
Source: RNAcentral
CGCCUAACACAUGCAAGUCGAACGAAGUAGCAAUACUUAGUGGCAGACGGGUGAGUAACAUGUAGGUAUCUGCCCUUUGGCCUGGAAUAACACGAGGAAACUUGUGCUAAUACUGGAUAAGUCUUUACGGAGAAAGCUUUAUGCACCAUUGGAUGAGCCUGCACUUGAUUAGUUUGUUGGUAGGGUAAUGGCCUACCAAGACUUUGAUCAAUAGCUGAUUUGAGAGGAUGAUCAGCCACAUUGGGACUGAGACACGGCCCAAACUCCUACGGGAGGCAGCAGUGGGGAAUCUUGCACAAUGGAGGAAACUCUGAUGCAGCGAUGCCGCGUGAGUGAAGAAGGCCCUUGGGUUGUAAAGCUCUUUCGUCGGGGAAGAAAAUGACUGUACCCGAAUAAGAAGGUCCGGCUAACUUCGUGCCAGCAGCCGCGGUAAUACGAAGGGACCUAGCGUAGUUCGGAAUUACUGGGCUUAAAGAGUUCGUAGGUGGUUGAAAAAGUUGGUGGUGAAAUCCCAGAGCUUAACUCUGGAACUGCCAUCAAAACUUUUCAGCUAGAGUUUGAUAGAGGAAAGCAGAAUUUCUAGUGUAGAGGUGAAAUUCGUAGAUAUUAGAAAGAAUACCAAUUGCGAAGGCAGCUUUCUGGAUCAUUACUGACACUGAGGAACGAAAGCAUGGGUAGCGAAGAGGAUUAGAUACCCUCGUAGUCCAUGCCGUAAACGAUGUGUGUUAGACGUUGGAAAUUUAUUUUCAGUGUCGCAGCGAAAGCGAUAAACACACCGCCUGGGGAGUACGACC